Molecule: ribosomal RNA, 466 nt
Filed under: uncultured bacterium
Lineage: Bacteria
Description: partial 16S ribosomal RNA
Rfam family: Bacterial small subunit ribosomal RNA
Source: RNAcentral
ACGAACGCUGGCGGCGUGCUUAACACAUGCAAGUCGAACGGAAAGGCCCUGCUUUUGUGGGGUGCUCGAGUGGCGAACGGGUGAGUAACACGUGAGUAACCUGCCCUUGACUUUGGGAUAACUUCAGGAAACUGGGGCUAAUACCGGAUAGGAGCUCCUGCUGCAUGGUGGGGGUUGGAAAGUUUCGGCGGUUGGGGAUGGACUCGCGGCUUAUCAGCUUGUUGGUGGGGUAGUGGCUUACCAAGGCUUUGACGGGUAGCCGGCCUGAGAGGGUGACCGGCCACAUUGGGACUGAGAUACGGCCCAGACUCCUACGGGAGGCAGCAGUGGGGAAUAUUGCACAAUGGGCGGAAGCCUGAUGCAGCAACGCCGCGUGCGGGAUGACGGCCUUCGGGUUGUAAACCGCUUUCGCCUGUGACGAAGCGUGAGUGACGGUAAUGGGUAAAGAAGCACCAGCUAACUACGU